This 65-nucleotide transfer RNA is filed under the name Dipodomys ordii (Ord's kangaroo rat). It matches the Rfam family "tRNA". Rfam says of the family: Transfer RNA (tRNA) molecules are approximately 80 nucleotides in length. Their secondary structure includes four short double-helical elements and three loops (D, anti-codon, and T loops). The record is from Rfam by way of RNAcentral. Lineage: Eukaryota; Metazoa; Chordata; Mammalia; Rodentia; Heteromyidae.
GGUGGCUCAGUGGUAGAGCACUUUUCUUGCAUGCAUGAGGCCCUGGGUUCAAUUCCUUGGCACCA